This 78-nucleotide transfer RNA is filed under the name Mycobacterium phage LadyBird. Its description in RNAcentral is "tRNA-Gln". It matches the Rfam family "tRNA". Rfam says of the family: Transfer RNA (tRNA) molecules are approximately 80 nucleotides in length. Their secondary structure includes four short double-helical elements and three loops (D, anti-codon, and T loops). Lineage: Duplodnaviria; Heunggongvirae; Uroviricota; Caudoviricetes. RNAcentral also lists the same sequence under 2 other names. The record is from RNAcentral.
UUCCCGGCUAGCACAACGGUAGCUGCGCUCGGCUCUGGACCGAGAGGUUUGAGGUUCGAAUCCUUGGCCGGGAGCCCA